Molecule: unclassified non-coding RNA, 222 nt
Filed under: air metagenome
Description: partial contains small subunit ribosomal RNA, internal transcribed spacer 1, and 5.8S ribosomal RNA
Rfam family: Eukaryotic small subunit ribosomal RNA (bases 1-46)
Source: RNAcentral
AAGUCGUAACAAGGUCUCCGUUGGUGAACCAGCGGAGGGAUCAUUACCGAGUUCUCGCAACUCCCAAAACCCCCUGUGAACAUACCUACGUUGCCUCGGCGCGGGUCUGGCGCGAGCCUCUCCCCGCCGGCGGCCCAUCCAAACUCUGUCUCUCUUGCCUGAGCUCUGAACUAUACAAAACAGAAUACGUUAAAACUUUCAACAACGGAUCUCUUGGUUCUG